This 468-nucleotide ribosomal RNA is filed under the name uncultured bacterium. Its description in RNAcentral is "partial 16S ribosomal RNA". It matches the Rfam family "Bacterial small subunit ribosomal RNA", at positions 28 to 507 of the family's 1533-position model. The record is from RNAcentral.
GACGAACGCUGGCGGCGUGCUUAACACAUGCAAGUCGAACGGAAAGGCCCUGCUUUUGUGGGGUGCUCGAGUGGCGAACGGGUGAGUAACACGUGAGUAACCUGCCCUUGACUUUGGGAUAACUUCAGGAAACUGGGGCUAAUACCGGAUAGGAGCUCCUGCUGCAUGGUGGGGGUUGGAAAGUUUCGGCGGUUGGGGAUGGACUCGCGGCUUAUCAGCUUGUUGGUGGGGUAGUGGCUUACCAAGGCUUUGACGGGUAGCCGGCCUGAGAGGGUGACCGGCCACAUUGGGACUGAGAUACGGCCCAGACUCCUACGGGAGGCAGCAGUGGGGAAUAUUGCACAAUGGGCGGAAGCCCGAUGCAGCAACGCCGCGUGCGGGAUGAAGGCCUUCGGGUUGUAAACCGCUUUCGCCUGUGACGAAGCGUGAGUGACGGUAAUGGGUAAAGAAGCACCGGCUAACUACGUG